RNAcentral lists this long non-coding RNA (585 nucleotides) under Salmo salar (Atlantic salmon). RNAcentral describes it as "lncRNA (ENSSSAG00000083242.1)". Lineage: Eukaryota; Metazoa; Chordata; Actinopteri; Salmoniformes; Salmonidae. The record is from RNAcentral.
CCCUGUCUUUGUUUGGUUUUAGUUAACCUCUUUCGUUUUUUGAGUUUCUUUUUGUAAAUAUGUAUUUUCUGUAUGGAGCUGGGUUAGCCGUUCCAUAGGGGUCAGGAUGGAGUUGGCCCUGGAUCUGUAAUUAUUAUUCAACAUGUCUACACCUGGGAUUCGAACGCUCAACCUCUUGGUUGACGGCAUUCCGAUCUUCCUGCCACGCCACCAUGUCUUUGUCAUCGUCUGAUUUCACCUGUAUUCCUACACUUAUAUUUCUCAUGGUGAUUCAGGAGUAACAUUAAAACAGAAUUGUACAGUAGACAACUAUACAGAAAAACCCAAGUAUUGCACCAUGCGUUGGGUUCAAACUGUUACGGCUUGGUCUGCGCCCCGCUCCAUAACAAAUGAAUUUUUUAUAUUAUCAGCUGUUACUACUGAUCCUCAGGAACAACUACAUGGCCGUGACAGAGUUUACAGAUGAAGCAAAUGGAGCUACACACAGGACCUUUACAGACCUGGUGUUGUUCUACUCAUAUCUGCUGUCCUGCGCCUGACUCUCUACACCAGCUACACACAGGACCCUUACAGACCUGGUGUUGU